UAUGGUCCUUUUACCAUAGAGUUCCAGAAGGAAGAAUGAAAGAAAGACAGAGCAAUGGGAAGGCUUCAAAGAAUUGGCAGGUCUGACAUUAAAUGAAGUUUUAUCCAAGGCCAAGUAAAGAGAGGAAUAAAGAAGGAUGGUUGACAGAACUUGUGUGGUGCCCCAAUGGUUCAACAGAUUAGGUAAAGUAAUUAGAUUCAUUGUGAAGAUGUGUGCACUGGGCUGGAACAUUUCCAGAGAAAGCUGGACUAGCCAUGCAUCAGCAUACUAGCCAAGAUUGAUACCUCUCCACAAAUCAACAAAGACAUCAACGAAGCUUUGUUAAAGCUAGUGACAAUUUACAUAUGUUUUCUUAUGUGGCUUAAUUAUAAUAAUGUCAAGAAAGUUAAUUAAAUAAGAACUAUACAUUUUAUUGUUAGGCUUAUGUUAGUCUUAACUAUUUCUGUAAUUCUUCAUUAUGGGGGGCAUUAUGAAUCUUAGAUAGUUUUCAAUGGACCUCAUUCACCAAUUGUAAACAAACAACAUUUAGCCACGUGGUGCUUUAUCUCUUCUAUAUAAUUUACGAUCUCAUGUUUAAUUUAUGAUGGUUGUCACGAGACAGUUUUUUUCAUUGUUUUAUCAAUAAGAUCAUGUGACUAAAUGUUGGUGAAUGAGGUCCAUUCUAAGAUAAGUUAAUUUUUAUUGAUCCAAUCAAAUGGAUAUUCAGUUUGACUACAAUUUUGCUUAUAAAAAGCUCAAUCAUAUAGUUUUGUAUUAAAUAAUAGUUUAAUUGCGUUUUAGGUACUGAUAGUUAGUAUGCUAUGUAAUAUUUAAAUGCAGUUUUUUAUUAUUAAAAAUCAUUGUUAUGUAAAGAAUGAUUUUCUGUAAUAUUAGACAUAAUUGUAGGUCUUUCUGUGUAGCAACUAUACUGCACACUUUUUUUUCAUUCCUACGAGUAGAUAAUAUAAUUUAUUCAAUGAUAAUAAAGAGCUUUGAAAUAAAUGUCUUUAUAA
Molecule: long non-coding RNA, 992 nt
Organism: Biomphalaria glabrata
Lineage: Eukaryota; Metazoa; Mollusca; Gastropoda; Planorbidae
Exons: 3
Source: RefSeq, a predicted model, not a curated record